CAGAAUUCCUCAUAGUAAACACGUACAAAAUGACUGGAUGACUUUGAGCACAUUCCAUCUAGAGAAUCGAAAACCUGCAGAGCAAGAACCGCCAGCUACAGGACGAGUGUUUAUUAAAAUAGAAUCUUUAUUUGUCUCAUUAUUAAAGCAUCACAUUUAAGGCAUGUGGCUCAGAAUGUAUUCUGAAUACAGUUCAGAUAUCAUAGAAAUGUGAGACAUUCCGUUCUUGUGUCACAGAUAUUUGGGUCUGAAAAUCAUCUGGAAGGUCAGUAGGGUGUCUUCUGAUUGAGUCCUUUUAACCUUCCUGGUUUUACGCAUUCAUGCUUGUGUUAGUGUUUGAUGCCUUAUGUUUAGUUUUUUGUUAGAACUGGUUUCUGUGGGAGAAAAAUAUCAUUUUAAUUUAGUUAAAUUGUGAGUGUUCAGAUUCUGAGUUGAUCUGCUUCCACACAACAUGUCUCAGUAAGAAACUAUACACUGAAGGUGGACUUUUAAUAUCACUCUUAAUAUUCUACAUGACAUUAUUUUCACUGGAAACCAGUUAUGAAGAAAGAGUUUAAGUCUUGUGUUGUAUUACACUAUCAUGGUCUUCAUUAAGAGAGGAAUGUUAUAGAAGAAUGUUUUCCUCUGGGCAUUAUUUAUUCAGUGUUUAUUGCCUGAAGCCAUGUUCCGUGUUUUUCAGGUUAAACGUGUUCGAAAGCUCAGCUUGGAUUCGUCGCAGUUGAGCCAAUGCUCUGUUCUCAUAUUGUGUCCUAAGAUUUCACACAAUUUGUCUCAUUUUUGAAAAUAAAUGACUUUAUCAUGACUUUUAUGUUUCUGUGGCAAUGGUGUGUGUGAUUGUGCGAUUGUUAGAGCUGGUGUGUGUGUGUUUGUGAGAGUUUUUGUGAUGGUUGUUGUGGUGAGCUUUCAAGCUCUUCUCAGAAUCACCUGACUGCCCACACCGAUGCAUGUAGGUGGUUGUGAAGCAGAGGGUUACGGAUGCGGCCAUUUUAUUGUGUUUUCUGUCAAAAGGCCGCAGCGUCAUUUCAGUUUAACUGAAACUGAACUUAUCUGAUGAUAAAAUGCAAGUGAAACUGGGGCCAUGACAUAAAGAUCCAGCAACCUGGAAACAGCAUGAAGGCCAAAGAUAUGGAGGAGCUGUUAGGAAGUCUGGAGCAUGACCUCAUACAUGGUGGUGUUUAAAGCCUCAACAUUUUGUUAGGGGCAAAUAGCUGGAAACUUCAACAAAGGUGUUUCUCAGAGCUGCUUGAAAGAGCUAAACAUCUUCUUUACAGCUAAGUCUUCCAUGCUGGGCUCAGACUCCGCCUACAUCUGGAUCCUCUCUCUGAUUGUUUUUUCCUGUGUUCUUUUUGCUGCUCUGUUUCACUCCCGGAGAACUGGAACCUUCUCAUCUCUCUCUCAGUUCCCCGGAGAAUCCACGAUGAAGGAGUCACAGGAUACACUCGUAGCAGCAGGAGACCCCGAGACACAUGCAGACUGUCAGGACUGAUGUGCCUUUGUUCAUGUUCCUCGUCACAUGUCUGCCCUGCAUUCAUCUGCUCCUCCCGUCUCUACAUACAGUGUACCUGUUUCCCAUUGUUAUUAUUGUGUCUGGAAUCAUCGUCACUGUCCCAUCAGUGUCAUGUUCGUAUAACGUCUUUAUUCCAUUGUACUUUGUUUUGUUUAGUUUUUGUCUGUGUUCCUGUUUCAUGUAUGUUAUUUAUUAAACCCCAUUCUUUUGAAGCUAUCCUGCGUAUCGGUCUGUCUCCCUCCUUCCCGGUUGUGACACAGAGAAAGUAAUAAAACUAAUAAAACAUUACACACAGGCUGCUUACAGAUGGGGAAAGAGGGAGGGAGAAUUAUUUACCUGAUAUUGUGAUUAUAUAUUUAUUUAUUUAACAUUUUGUUAUUUAUUAAGUCCUGACUAUAAAACACGAAUUGUGUUUAAAAUGCCACGUGUAUUUCUUCAGUCUGUAAAUGGCAUAAACAAUAAAAUUAGAGUUCAGAGUUGUUAGUUUUUUUUUCCACAGGAAAUCCUGGCCCCUGUUCCUGUCUGAAGUGACAAGAAAUGAGAGAUCGUGUGUGCAUGGGGUGCACAAGUGUGUGUGUGUGUGUGUGUGUGUGUGUGUGUGUGUGUGUGUGUGUGUGUGUGUGUGUGUGUGUGUGUGUGUGUGUGU
This is a long non-coding RNA of Tachysurus fulvidraco (yellow catfish), 2153 nucleotides long. RefSeq lists it as uncharacterized. NCBI's taxonomy places the organism in Eukaryota, Metazoa, Chordata, Actinopteri, Siluriformes, Bagridae. The transcript has 3 exons. The record is from RefSeq and is a predicted model, not a curated record.